GACGAACGCUGGCGGCGUGCUUAACACAUGCAAGUCGAACGGAAAGGCCCUGCUUGCAGGGUACUCGAGUGGCGAACGGGUGAGUAACACGUGGGUGAUCUGCCCUGCACUUCGGGAUAGGCCUGGGAAACUGGGUCUAAUACCGGAUAGGAGCCAUUUUUAGUGUGAUGGUUGGAAAGUUUUUUCGGUGUAGGAUGAGCUCGCGGCCUAUCAGCUUGUUGGUGGGGUAAUGGCCUACCAAGGCGGCGACGGGUAGCCGGCCUGAGAGGGUGGACGGCCACAUUGGGACUGAGAUACGGCCCAGACUCCUACGGGAGGCAGCAGUGGGGAAUAUUGCACAAUGGGCGCAAGCCUGAUGCAGCGACGCCGCGUGGGGGAUGACGGCCUUCGGGUUGUAAACUCCUUUCGCUAGGGACGAAGCUUUUUGUGACGGUACCUAGAUAAGAAGCACCGGCUAACUACGUG
Molecule: ribosomal RNA, 465 nt
Filed under: uncultured bacterium
Lineage: Bacteria
Description: partial 16S ribosomal RNA
Rfam family: Bacterial small subunit ribosomal RNA
Source: RNAcentral